This 253-nucleotide ribosomal RNA is filed under the name uncultured bacterium. RNAcentral describes it as "partial 16S ribosomal RNA". It matches the Rfam family "Bacterial small subunit ribosomal RNA", at positions 524 to 776 of the family's 1533-position model. The record is from RNAcentral.
GACGAGGGGUGCGAACGUUAUUCGGAAUGAUUGGGCGUAAAGGGUGCGUAGGCGGUUUGUUAAGUCAACUGUUAAAUUUCUCAGCUUAACUGGGAGUAUGCGGUAGAAACUGGCAAACUAGAGGAUGGAAGAGAGAAGUAGAAUUCUCGGAGUAGCGGUAAAAUGCGUAGAUCUCGAGAGGAACACCGAUGGCGAAGGCAGCUUCUUAGCCCAUUUCUGACGCUGAGGCACGAAAGCGUGGGGAGCAAACAGG